UAUCUAUAAAUUGACGAGCAAAUCCAACAAAACAUCUCCAACAAGACAACACUCAUUUAACUAAAUUUCAAUCUCAAAUAUGGGUAGGAAAGUAAUUGCUUUUCUUAACAUUUUGAUAGUAAUUGUUCUCAUAAUGUCCCCCCAAGUCGCUUUAGCCAGGAAACUUGCGCAGAGUACCAAUACCCCGUAUUUAGAGAAAAAGUCGGAGACCCGUAAAGCAUUGAAUCCCAAACGAUCUUAUUGCAACAAAAACGCUCCAUACUCCAAAUGCUAUCGUUCUCCACCACCUCAUUACACCUCGCAACUUCCAUGAGAAAUUGCAGUCCCAUAUCCGGACCGAAAUCGAUCAGUUUUAUCCAUACAAAACUACGUAUUCGUACUGUAACAAAUGCCUAUGUUGGCGCUUAGUAAAAUAAAGAGGCAUUAAAGUCGACUUUUGUAUCUAUUUAUGCUUUCACAUAGGAUUAUGGAUGAAAGCUUUCUAAUUUCUGUACAAGUGCGCAAUGUAAUGCUUAAACAUCUAUAAUUACUAGUAUUAUAUAACAGUAUUACUAAUGUUAA
Molecule: long non-coding RNA, 561 nt
Organism: Salvia hispanica
Lineage: Eukaryota; Viridiplantae; Streptophyta; Magnoliopsida; Lamiales; Lamiaceae
Source: RefSeq, a predicted model, not a curated record